This 816-nucleotide non-coding RNA is filed under the name Pongo abelii (Sumatran orangutan). Lineage: Eukaryota; Metazoa; Chordata; Mammalia; Primates; Hominidae. The record is from RNAcentral.
CAAACCAUCACAAGAACCCCAGGCAGGGCUGGAUCAAGGUGAGGGCUGGAGGAUACCUGUGGCCCCUGUGGGGACCCUCUGCCCUGCCCACUGCCUUCUGCCCCUGGACCUCACACUGGUCUGCCUGUCUGGGAGCUGCAGGAGGCAGGGAAGAUGUAAGGACAGCAAAGAUCCAAGCCCAGGCUCCAACCCGAGGCCUGGCAUCCAGCAGCGACCCCAUUGUGGGCGCCGAGGGGGACAGGAGCCCCUGCUUGCACAACACAAAGCAGGAGGCCUGUGGGGGUCCCCGCUGUGUCAGCGUCUCGCCAGGUAAUGGCUCAUCUCUAAUGAGCUCCUGGACCAUUGAUGCCAUCUCUCAGCACACUGCGUGACUGAUGUCCUCUGGAGGCGGCUUGUGCGUCCCCCAGAGCCCUGGCCUGGUGGCCCCGAGCCCAACAGUGACUCUCACUCCAGGGCACAAGGCACUGCUGGGGACACUAAGCCACUGGGGAGGCACCGAAGGUGGGGCGGUUAGGGAGGGAUUCCUGCAGGAGGGGACACCUCACGCUGGGUUUGGAAGGACUGACAAGGGGCAUAAGUGGGAGGGUUCUAGGUGAGGGAACAGUGCGUAAGUGCAUACAUGCAUGUGUUUGUGCACACAGAGGAGAGAGGGGGCCAGGUGUGUUGGGAACCCUAAGCCUGCAGGGACAACCUGGGUGGGGGGGAUUGUUUGAGUUUGGGCUCAUCCUGUGGCCCCAGUGGGGGUGCUCCAUGGCCGGUGAGCCUGGGGGCACAUAGUCUGGGCCUCAGGAACGCACUGCCCGAGUCCGGGCAGAG